UCCAGACUCCUACGGGAGGCAGCAGUGGGGAAGAUGGGGCAAUGGGAGAAAGCCUGACAAAGCAACGCCGCGUGAAGGAAGAAGGCUUUAGGGUUGUAAAAUUCUUUUAAGAGGGAAGAGAAGAAGACGGUACCUCUUGAAUAAGCCACGGCUAACUACGUGCCAGCAGCCGCGGUAAUACGUAGGUGGCAAGCGUUGUCCGGAAUUACUGGGCGUAAAGGGCGCGUAGGUGGGCGCUUAAGUCAGGUGUGAAAACUCCGGGCUCAACCUGGAGACUGCACUUGAAACUGGGUGUCUUGAGGGCAGGAGAGGAAAGUGGAAUUCCUAGUGUAGCGGUGAAAUGCGUAGAUAUUAGGAGGAACACCAGUGGCGAAGGCGACUUUCUGGACUGUACCUGACGCUGAGGCGCGAAAGCGUGGGUAGCGAACGGGAUUAGAUACCCGUGUA
This 447-nucleotide ribosomal RNA is filed under the name uncultured bacterium. RNAcentral describes it as "bacterial SSU rRNA". It matches the Rfam family "Bacterial small subunit ribosomal RNA", at positions 330 to 792 of the family's 1533-position model. The record is from RNAcentral.